Molecule: long non-coding RNA, 297 nt
Filed under: Coccomyxa subellipsoidea
Lineage: Eukaryota; Viridiplantae; Chlorophyta; Trebouxiophyceae; Coccomyxaceae
Description: long non-coding RNA (CSUB_LNC000249)
Source: RNAcentral
GGCUAGGAAGGGUACUAGCACGUCCAGACCAAGCACGCAUGCAAAGCCGGGGAAGGGCUGGAGCGUCCUGACAGCUGAAGCUCACCGUGCAGAGCAACCGCUGUCCCAAUACCCUAGACAUGCACAGAAAGCCGCACCAGCCUCAGACAUCUCUGCGUUUCCAGCGCUCACCAGCGCGCAUCGGGCACCCCAGAAUCUCACGCCGACGAGCAUGGAUGGACUAAAAUUGGAAAGCCGAGGGACGGCAAGUGCCGGAGCAAUUCGGCAAGGGGAGCGUGCUGGCCAGCGGCACUGGCC